Molecule: ribosomal RNA, 640 nt
Filed under: Brevundimonas diminuta
Lineage: Bacteria; Pseudomonadati; Pseudomonadota; Alphaproteobacteria; Caulobacterales; Caulobacteraceae
Description: bacterial SSU rRNA
Rfam family: Bacterial small subunit ribosomal RNA
Source: RNAcentral
GUUGUACACGGCCAGUGCCACGGACGGGUGAGUAACACGUGGGAACGUGCCUUUAGGUUCGGAAUAAGCUCCUGGAAACGGGUGGUAAUGCCGAAUGUGCCCUUCGGGGGAAAGAUUUAUCGCCUUUAGAGCGGCCCGCGUCUGAUUAGCUAGUUGGUGAGGUAACGGCUCACCAAGGCGACGAUCGAUAGCUGGUCUGAGAGGAUGACCAGCCACACUGGGACUGAGACACGGCCCAGACUCCUACGGGAGGCAGCAGUGGGGAAUCUUGCGCAAUGGGCGAAAGCCUGACGCAGCCAUGCCGCGUGAAUGAUGAAGGUCUUAGGAUUGUAAAAUUCUUUCACCGGGGACGAUAAUGACGGUACCCGGAGAAGAAGCCCCGGCUAACUUCGUGCCAGCAGCCGCGGUAAUACGAAGGGGGCUAGCGUUGCUCGGAAUUACUGGGCGUAAAGGGCGCGUAGGCGGAUCGUUAAGUCAGAGGUGAAAUCCCAGGGCUCAACCCUGGAACUGCCUUUGAUACUGGCGAUCUUGAGUAUGAAAGAGGUAUGUGGAACUUCCGAGUGUAGAGGUGAAAUUCGUAGAUAUUCGGAAAACACCAGUGGCGAAAGCGACAUACUGCUCAUUACUUGACGCUGAGGCG